GCUGGGCAUGGUGGCGCAUUCCUGUAAUCCCAGCUACUUGGGAGGCUGAGGCAGGAGAAUCGCUUGAACCCAGGAGGUGGAGGUUGCAGUGAGCUGAGAUUGCACCACUGCACUCCAGCCUGGGUGACAGGGUAAGACCUUGCCUUAA
Unclassified non-coding RNA from Papio anubis (olive baboon), 148 nucleotides. It matches the Rfam family "Metazoan signal recognition particle RNA". From Rfam's summary of the family: The signal recognition particle (SRP) is a universally conserved ribonucleoprotein. The record is from Ensembl. NCBI's taxonomy places the organism in Eukaryota, Metazoa, Chordata, Mammalia, Primates, Cercopithecidae.